GAUGAACGCUGGCGGCGUGCUUAACACAUGCAAUUCGAGCGAAGCAGUUAAGUUGAUUUCUUCGGAUUGAUUCUUAACUGACUGAGCGGCGGACGGGUGAGUAACGCGUGGGUGACCUGCCCCAUACCGGGGGAUAACAGCUGGAAACGGCUGCUAAUACCGCAUAAGCGCACAGAGCUGCAUGGCUCGGUGUGAAAAACUCCGGUGGUAUGGGAUGGGCCCGCGUCUGAUUAGGCAGUUGGCGGGGUAACGGCCCACCAAACCGACGAUCAGUAGCCGGCCUGAGAGGGCGACCGGUCACAUUGGGACUGAGACACGGCCCAAACUCCUACGGGAGGCAGCAGUGGGGAAUAUUGCACAAUGGGGGAAACCCUGAUGCAGCGACGCCGCGUGAGCGAAGAAGUAUUUCGGUAUGUAAAGCUCUAUCAGCAGGGAAGAUAAUGACGGUACCUGACUAAGAAGCCCCGGCUAACUACGUGCCAGCAGCCGCGGUAAUACGUAGGGGGCAAGCGUUAUCCGGAUUUACUGGGUGUAAAGGGAGCGUAGACGGCAAGGCAAGUCUGAUGUGAAAACCCAGGGCUUAACCCUGGGACUGCAUUGGAAACUGUCUGGCUCGAGUGCCGGAGAGGUAAGCGGAAUUCCUAGUGUAGCGGUGAAAUGCGUAGAUAUUAGGAAGAACACCAGUGGCGAAGGCGGCUUACUGGACGG
This 708-nucleotide ribosomal RNA is filed under the name uncultured Lachnospiraceae bacterium. RNAcentral describes it as "bacterial SSU rRNA". It matches the Rfam family "Bacterial small subunit ribosomal RNA", at positions 28 to 736 of the family's 1533-position model. Lineage: Bacteria; Bacillati; Bacillota; Clostridia; Lachnospirales; Lachnospiraceae. The record is from RNAcentral.